Molecule: ribosomal RNA, 573 nt
Filed under: Theloderma khoii
Lineage: Eukaryota; Metazoa; Chordata; Amphibia; Anura; Rhacophoridae
Description: partial large subunit ribosomal RNA
Rfam family: Bacterial large subunit ribosomal RNA
Source: RNAcentral
ACAGUUUCUUCAUGAUCGCCUGUUUAUCAAAAACAUCGCCUCUUGACCACAUAAGAGGUCUAGCCUGCCCAGUGAAAAUUCAACGGCCGCGGUACCCUAACCGUGCAAAGGUAGCAUAAUCACUUGUUCUUUAAAUGGGGACUCGUAUCAACGGCAUCACGAGGGUUGCACUGUCUCCCCCCUCUAAUCAGUGAAACUGAUCUCCCCGUGAAGAAGCGGGGGUACAACUAUAAGACGAGAAGACCCCAUGGAGCUUAAAACCUACAGCAACUCAACUCCCUCCACCCCCCCACAGCCCAAAGAAACAUGCGUGACGGUUUUAGGUUGGGGCGACCGCGGAGUAAAAACCAACCUCCACGACGAAAAGAACUAAAUCUUUAUCCCAGAGCCACCUCUCCAAGAAUUAGCACACUAACGAACAUGACCCGACUAUCGAUCAACGAACCAAGUUACCCUGGGGAUAACAGCGCAAUCUACUUCAAGAGCCCCUAUCGACAAGUAGGCUUACGACCUCGAUGUUGGAUCAGGGUACCCCAGAGGUGCAGCCGCUUCUAAAGGUCGCGUCACCCCAUC